AGAUGGUGGAAACGUUCCGUCCGAUUCUUCCCUCAUAAUGUGUGUGCUCAAGCCACAAUACCUAGAAUCCUGAGCAUUGUGACCUGGGUCCACCCCCUGCUCUGAUCCUAACUGCUGACCCAGACUUCAGAUUCAAAGCUGACUGAGGACAGUCAGUGUAUCAUUCAUUCCUGAACACCAGCUCCACAACUGAACAACAACCACAUUGAUGUGAGCUCCUCAUACAUCUUCAGCCAAGGCACACAGAAAAAGGAAAUGCCUGAC
Symphalangus syndactylus (siamang) is the source of this 264-nucleotide long non-coding RNA. RefSeq lists it as uncharacterized. The record is from RefSeq and is a predicted model, not a curated record. NCBI's taxonomy places the organism in Eukaryota, Metazoa, Chordata, Mammalia, Primates, Hylobatidae.